RNAcentral lists this small RNA (108 nucleotides) under Arabidopsis thaliana (thale cress). RNAcentral describes it as "ATSL158450". The record is from RNAcentral. Lineage: Eukaryota; Viridiplantae; Streptophyta; Magnoliopsida; Brassicales; Brassicaceae.
CCCUAUAAACCUCAAUCUAGAUGUCGGAGAUGCCCAGAAGAUGGAUUCCGAUGUAAUUUAUCGUCUUCUGAAGAUGAAGAACAAGAAGACGAAGAAAAAUAUUAGUUU